RNAcentral lists this signal recognition particle RNA (98 nucleotides) under Nitrospina sp. RNAcentral's name for it is "signal recognition particle sRNA small type". It matches the Rfam family "Bacterial small signal recognition particle RNA". Rfam says of the family: The signal recognition particle (SRP) is a universally conserved ribonucleoprotein involved in the co-translational targeting of proteins to membranes. Archaeal SRP consists of a 7S RNA and homologues of the eukaryotic SRP19 and SRP54 proteins. The record is from RNAcentral. Lineage: Bacteria; Pseudomonadati; Nitrospinota; Nitrospinia; Nitrospinales; Nitrospinaceae.
UGUUGGGCCUUACGCAACACGGCUUUGUGAAACCCGUCAGGUCCGGAAGGAAGCAGCGGUAGCGAAUUCCCAUGGGUGCUGUGAGAUCCCCAACAAUU